This is a long non-coding RNA of Ruditapes philippinarum (Manila clam), 1742 nucleotides long. RefSeq lists it as uncharacterized. The record is from RefSeq and is a predicted model, not a curated record. The transcript has 6 exons. Lineage: Eukaryota; Metazoa; Mollusca; Bivalvia; Venerida; Veneridae.
ACAUUUUCUUAUACAGUUUCUGUGGCAUCAUUGUUUUAUGGACACAUUUUUUUGGUUUUGUUUGCUAUGUUGCCAGUCAUACCAAUACUAUUAAGUUAUAAUUAAGGAUAUUUUCCAGUUUUUUUCAGCACAGAAGAUAUCAUGUGCCCUCUUAAGCAUUAUUUUAAGCACAAGGGGGCACCUGACUGGAGCAACUGACUUUCCUUAAGCAAAUUUGUAGGAUGAGAAGCAUUCAUGUUCUUUAUUUAGUGAACUCACUUAGUGACUUGAUUUAAAGAAUGAUGUAAUUUAUAUUUUCCGGGACUGAUGGAGUGCAUAAAGAAGAAAACUAGAGAUCAAUUGCAGCAGACUGUAGGCGACUGUUAUUUUGGAGUUGUUUGCAUUUCAUUAAAUGAUAAUUCUUGACUUUCAAACAGCUCAGAUGAUACUGUAGAAUGCUCCAUGGAGGACUGUUUUCUGAUUACCCUUUACCAGAAGAAGAUGUCAAUAACUUUGGACAGACAGCUCACUAAAUACUGUAGAGUGAUGAUAGAUGGACACUAUUUAGUUGAACAAAGAAAAAAGGGAAACCUAUCCUAGCAGAUACAGAUCUGAUAAAGAUGACAGAAACUACAUAUAUACAUGACAGUCAUAGGAUGGGACUUAAGUGCUGACUGUGAGAUGCAAGGUAUUUCAAUAAAGAUGUGCAGUAUUAAUCCUGAAAAGGAAACAUACUUCAAACUAUAGAUGUGUAAUAGAAGAACAGACAUUGUGCAUAUAUUAUCUCUUGGAAGUGUCAAUCACCAACUUUACAUUGUGUUGUGAACAUUUAAAAUUAACCUGCUGAAUUUUUCAUGUAAUUUUUUCAAUAAAUCAGUUUUCAUUCUAGUUAAGUUAGGGGGAAAGUUGAGUGAAGAGUUGAGUGAUGGGUUAAGGGGAGAGCAGAUUUGAGUAGAGUUAACUGGGAGAAUAAAGUGGAGUUUAGGUUACUGGGAGUGUUUAGUUGAGGUUAUAGGGAGAGUUAAGUUGAGAUUACAGGGAGAGUUAAGUUGAGGUUACAGGGAGAGUUGAGUUGAGAUUACUGGGAGAUUUGAGUUGAGUUUACGGGGAGAGUUGAGUUGAGAUUAUGGGAGAGUUGAGUUGAGAUAACAGGGUGACUUGAGUUGAGAUUAUGGGGAGAGUUGAGUUGAGGUUACGGGAAGGGUUAAGUUAAGAUUACAGGGAGAGUUGAGUUAAGUUGAGAUUAUGGGCAGAGUUGAGGUAAGGGUGGAGAGUUCAGUUCAGUUCAGAUUAUGGGGAGAGUUGAGAUGAGAUUAUGGGAAGAGUUGAGUUGAGUUUACAGGGAGAGUUGAGUGGAUUUUAGAUUAGGGAGAGAGUAAAGUUCAGAUAAGAGUACCAGUGGCGGAUUCAGGGCUGCAGCCCCCCACCCCCAGCUUGGCCCUAAGAUAUGUUUACCAGCUGGGCUGGAACAUAUUUUUUGUCAGUUUCAAUCUUUAUUGGCUGUAGUGUACUCCCUUAUCAAAACAUUUAUUGCUGUCAUCCAGUUCUUAAUCUCCUGCCUGGGGGCUUGGCAGAGGGGUAAAGAUCUUUAUCUAUCAACAUGCUUGACUGACUUCAAUGUUUAAACUGCAUAAUUGAUUGGUUAAUUACUUUCCAAAGGUCUAAUGAAAAAUAGAUAUGUUAAAAAGUAUACCAUAUUAAACUACCUUUUUUUUCAUUUUCUGAAGGAAAACCCUACUGUAUAUAUAAUUAAUAAAUUGAAA